Long non-coding RNA from Vidua macroura (Pin-tailed whydah), 831 nucleotides. RefSeq lists it as uncharacterized. The record is from RefSeq and is a predicted model, not a curated record. The transcript is spliced from 3 exons. NCBI's taxonomy places the organism in Eukaryota, Metazoa, Chordata, Aves, Passeriformes, Viduidae.
GUUGCAAAAGAACCUUUUGAGUAAGUCUCUUUGGUGCAAUACAGAUACGUCAAGGCUGAUUGUUAUUGUACAUGUCAGGGCUGUUGAAGUGCAGGAUAAAGAAGGCCAUUGUGCUCCCACGGAGGGGACAGCUCGGAUGAUUAAUGACUGCUCCCUCAAUUCUCCGAAGAAGAGAUGGAAGUCGGAUAAGGCCUCCGCUGGCGGACAACAUGGAAAACAGGUCGAAGAAACUGCAAAGAUGCUGAAGACCAGCACAUUUUAAACAGUGUCCUCAACAUUUGAUUUUGGAGAAGAAAAGUACCCACAGCCAUCCCCCAGGGACCAGCUGCCCAUCACCACAGCAUUGGCAAACGUCCACUUUGGGAGGAUAAUGAGCAUUUUUGGCUGCAGCAGCAACGACGCCAUAAAACACCACGAACUGCUGCUCGCAGGCUUCUCCCAUCACUGCUCGGAGCAUCUGUGGAAGGGAAAACUUCCCAGCGUAACAUCCACAACCUCUUAAGUAAAUAGUCUUUAAUGUUGCACUAAAGGGUUGUAGUCUUAAUAUGUAAAAUCUGUUUAGCUUUUUUAAUUCUUGGAUCGUGCUGUGGAAAGUCCUCCAGAAGUUGCCUGUUGGCUUUUUUCCCCUCGCCUUUGGUCUCGGAGGAGCUGUGGCCAGGAACGCCCUCCCGCAGAGCCGCCGCACCCGGGGCCAGCGGGAGCUGGUGGGAGAUGCCCUGAAGAUGGCAGCAGGGCCAUGGGCACCACGCAGCCCGGGCUGCGACAGCGCGGGGACAGCCGGCGGGUACCACAGCGCUCCGCUACACGCUGCUUGAAGCAAAUAUUUUCGCU